Punica granatum (pomegranate) is the source of this 3227-nucleotide non-coding RNA. The record is from RefSeq and is a predicted model, not a curated record. Lineage: Eukaryota; Viridiplantae; Streptophyta; Magnoliopsida; Myrtales; Lythraceae.
ACAUUUCUCCCUUUCGUCUGAACAUUCGAAACCCUAUCGGAGCAGAGGCCGUCAAUUUCUCAUCCAAAAAACGCUCGAACGCAUUGCGCCACUCGCCAUCGUUGACCUCCGCAGCUUCGUUGUCGCCGUAGCAGACUCGCGCCGCUCCCCGUCUGUCACUCUCUCCGAGUCUGAACUCGCUCUCAGAGAGGACCUCCAAUCGAUCCCUCUCCAAGUCGACAGCCUCGUCCUCAGCUUUAUCCUAGGACUACACUUUGCAGUUAUGGAUCAGUUGAGUUUGCAGAGUAAGAGAAAGAAGAGGAAAGUCGUCGCUCUAACUUUCUGUAUUCAAAUGUGUACUAUAGUAAGGGGUUUGAUGGGAAUAAUGUUAGAAUUAGAUGCUCUAUAUGGUCCUAAACCAAGCAGUAGGUCGUACGAGUUAAAAUAUUAUAGGAGGAGGGAUCAUAUUAGGAGGCUUGUGUAUGCGGAUGACGUUACUUGUACUGAACAACUAAGAAUGGAUAGGAAUGCAUUUUUCAAAUUGUGUCAUAUGCUUCAAGAAAUUGGGGGUCUGAAAAAUACAAGAAAUAUGCAUGUUGAUGAACAAGUGGCAAUGUUUUUAUAUGUAUUGGCUCAUCAUUUUAAGAAUCGAGUCAUUAAACACUAGUUUAGUAGAUCGGGUGAAACUGUAAGCCGAUAUUUCCACAAUGUUCUCAAAGCCACUUUAUGUCUACAAGCUCAUUUGUAUAAGAAGCCACAACCAAUAGCUGGUAAUUCAGAGGACCAACGAUGGAAGUGGUUUAAGGUACCUAAACAAAAGUCAAAUUUUGUAAAUUUAGGGAGCUAAUAUGGUGCUAACAUUACAUUUUGGUUCAAUGUAGAAUUGUCUAGGUGCUCUAGACGGGACGUAUAUCAAAAUCAAAGUGCCCGAGGUUGAUAAGCCUAGAUACAGAACUCGUAAAGGUGACAUAGCAACCAAUGUGUUAGGAGUUUGUACUCCAGAUAUGCAAUUCGCAUAUGUCCUUCAUGGAUGGGAGGGUUUUGCAGCUGAUGAGAGGGUAUUACGGGAUGCUAUUUCUAGGGAACAUGGACUUAGGGUGCCAACUGGUGAGUAUAAUAAUUUUUUGACAUUCUUAAUAUUAAAAAUGAAAAGCUUAAUAACAUACAAAGUAAUCUAGGUUUUUUUCCCUCUUUUUGACUAUAGGUUGUUAUUAUUUCGUUGAUGCUGGUUAUACGAACUGUGAGGGCUUUUUGGCACCCUUUAGAGGUCAAAGGUAUCACCUCAAUGAGUAGCGUCAAGGACAUCGACCGAGAAAUGAUGAGGAGCUUUUCAAUUUGAGACAUGCCUCUGCUCGUAAUGUUAUUGAAAGGUGUUCCGACUUGCUUAAGAUUCGAUGGGCGAUUCUUAGAAGUCCGUCAUUUUAUCAUGUUAGGGUUCACAAUAGAAUUAUAAUUGCUUGUUGCCUAUUGCAUAAUUUCAUUAGGAGAGAGAUGGCUUUUGAUCUUAUGGAAUACCAACUGAAUGAAACGGAUGUUGACAACCCUAAUGAGGAUGGUGAUCAUAUUUUUGAUAUUCAAACAUCAAAUGUUUGGAGUAAUUGGAGGAAAGAGUUGGCAACUGAGAUGUUUAAUGAGUGGAACUCAUCCACUACUUAGAUAGAUGUUGUGAUUGGGAAUUGUAAUGUAAACUUUGAGUUGUUUUUUCAUCCACUACUUAGAUAGAUUUGCUUGGUAUUGUAAGUUGUAUUGUCAUUGCUUUCUGAAGACAAUGUUAUGAAUCUAUUUCAAUGCACUUUCGGUUUGAUUUUCUGAAAGUCUUAUGUGCCAUAUUAUAUGUAGAUAUGUAUCCUUUUUGCAUAUAUUCGGUUAAAUACAGGUUCUUAUUGCCAUUUCAUGUAUGUGUUAUUGGUAUAGAAAAUGGAAGGUAGUUUUGCUUCUGUUACUUCCCAGGUGAGCAAGAGUGGCAAAAGGAAAUGGACAUUAGCUGAGGAUGCAAUCCUCGUCUCUUGCAUGAUUGACCUACGGAAUAUGGGUACCCACAAUGCUAACACAGGGUUUAAGUCUGGCUACUUGCCAGAACUUGAGAAAAUGCUAUUGGAAAAGCUCCCUAAUUGUGGUAUCAAGGUGAGACCUCACAUUGAAUCUCGAUUGAAGACACUGAAGAGGGAAUGAGCUAUCGUGUAUGAUAUGAUGCUUAAUACAAAUGGCUUUGGAUGGGACUCAACACGGAAGAUGGUCACGGCGGAAGACGAUGUCUGGGAGACUUAAGAAGCGGCAAUAAAGACAUCAUCUAUUUAUUUCGAUACUCUAUCGUUAUGCUUAUAUAUAAUAUCACUAACACUCUAUUCUUUCUGUUUUUAGACUUACAAAGAAGCUGCUCCAUUUAGAAUGAGAAGUUUUCCCCAUUUCGAAGAAUUAUCUAUGAUAUAUGCGAAGGAUUGAGCCACUGGAAAAGAUGCUUAAGCUGUUGAAGAUAUUCUGCAAGAGCUCAAGAUUGAAGAUUUAACUGGAGUAGCAAUACCAAUACCCCUACAUCGGGAGAUGUUUCGCGUGCUCAUCAACCACCUACAUAUGCAAAGGCAAGUGCUUCUUCAGGAAAAAAAAAAGGAAAAAGGGUGAAUCUGACUUCUCCACAAUUUCUCAGAGCUUGAAUACAAUGGCAACCGAAAUGAAAAAAGCUUGCAUGAUGAUCUCAAAGAGUAUUCACUCAGACAUUUAUCAAGAUAAGUUCCUUGAACUUCCGAGAGCUCUUCGUAAUGUUGAUGGUCUGACUUCAGCACAAGUUCGGUAACCAUCCGAAUUAUAUGCUACUUUUCUUUGGUACCGAGCCAGAAUAUCGCUUGGAAUUGGUGUAGGAUUUCCUUGCGAAUCGAGCACCGCCUUCUACGUCUAUGUAGACGACGAGCUUGUCGGGAGUGGCGAGUAUCGGCCCAAGAAGGAGAUUGCGAUCAACAGGGCCGCUAAGAAUGCCUUGGAAAAAUUGGAGAUCCUCGGUGAUCAGUUGAAGAACAGUUCUGUCGCGGAUGGGUCAUGAUCAUCAUCAACGAUUAUCAACUAAUUCUACUUAGAUUGGAUUAAGGUCGCUUUUUUUUUAUUUGUUUAAAUUAUGUUUAAUUAUUUUGUAGCUUAUGGUUGGUCCACUUGUGAUUUAUUAGUUUGCUAAGGCGUCUUUGUAAUCAAAACUAUUGGACUUAACUACGACCGAUGCAAUUUCUUUUGGUUAAGACAAUAGAAAAAUUCAUUUUAAA